This is a long non-coding RNA of Aethalodelphis obliquidens (Pacific white-sided dolphin), 2849 nucleotides long. RefSeq lists it as uncharacterized. Lineage: Eukaryota; Metazoa; Chordata; Mammalia; Artiodactyla; Delphinidae. The transcript has 3 exons. The record is from RefSeq and is a predicted model, not a curated record.
GGCGGGUAGGCAGAGCCUGGGGGCUCGUCGGCUGUGGAAGGAGAGAGCGGGGGAUGGCAGGGCUCUCCCCAGGCCGCACAGACACUAGCCAUGGGUGCCCCGUCUGGGACAGGCCUUCCUGGGACUGGCACCCCAGCCUGGAGAAGCUCUCCCCGGUCCUCUGGCCAUGCCCUGCUCAAGGAGGAAGGAGGUUUGUGUGUGCAUGUGCAGGGGGCCCGGGAGACCCCUGCACCCACGUUCCUGGCAGGCCUGGGGGCAGGCUGUUGGCGGGGGGGCUGGCCCCCUGCAUCUCCUCGCUGCCUCACACUUCGUACCAGCACUUUAUGUUCUGCCGGUUCUUAACGUUUUUUUCUUUAAAUAUAUUUCUGGAAAAGCUGUAUUUUCACUCUUGUCCUGCCAGGUUUGUGUGCACCCCUUCAGGCAGUAAAAUCUCACAUGAAGUCAUCCUCAGCAGCUCAUAAUCAAAACGCUGGGUGUUCAGAUAACAAAGCGAUGAAGAAAACCAGGCCUGAGCGCUCUGGACAACGUGGAAAUGGCCAGUACAGGUGGGAUCCACGUUCUCCUUUGGCUCGGGGCUCCGUUUUACGAACGGCUGACGGCUGAACAUCGCGGCAGACGUAACGAGGGCUGUGAGCCUCUCCGUGGGCCAGGAGGCCACCUAGAGUCCUUGCCCAGCCCUGGGCCCUGCUGUCCAAACGCGUCCCCUCUCCCGCUCACACCCCUACUGCACCAACAGGAUGGAACACUUACUACUGGGGGAGUUUUACUCACUCAUCCACGCGCAUGACGGCUUUGGAAGCCAGGCUGUGGACGAAGAAGACACGGCCCCCGCCCGCCCCCCGCAGAGCAGCCAUUGUGAAGAACGGUGUGCUAUGAACAUUCGUGCACAGGAUCUGUUCACUUCCCUGCUUUCAACUCCCUCCUCACUGUGGUACAACAGAGUCUUCCCAUGUUUAUGGGGAAGGGCACCCAGGGCUGCGGUGCCCUUCUCAGCGCAGUGUCAGGAGUGUGUGAUGUCUUACUGCAGCUGACAUCCACCUUCCUCACCUGCCUAAGGUUGAGUCUACCAGAAUCCUCCACUGUAAACUCCCCAUUUCCCCCUUUAUAAUUGCUGAAUAUUUGGUGAGGGGUAGUUUAAGGCUAUGCAAAUAUCCUGUUUAUGCUUAAACUUCCAAAGGGCUCUGUUUUGAACCUGCCAGGUUGGAGAUGUUGAAUGAUGGGCUAGGGCAGAGGUCACAAGGCUACUGAUGCCAGAGGCAGGGAGGGCCGGCUGCGGGCCGAGGUUGGGGGAGCAUCCCUGGCUGGGUUUACGGUCACAGGCCUGGGCGGGUUGCCUGGGGGGAGAAUGAAGGAGAGGGGCUGAGAAGGAGCCCCAGGGAUGACCAUGUGCUGAGGGCCGAGAGGACAGCGUAGCCUCAGCGGCCGAGACCCUGGAAUCCGUCCUUAGUUCUUCAAGAUGACAGGCCUGCAGUUUCUCCCCCCAGCCCUGCACCUCUGCCCGCCUCCCUCCCUCCCACCCUCCAACUCAGAUGCUGCAUCUUCCGGGACCACUCCAGGUGCCCGGUGGGAUGGGACUACUCCCUUCCCUUGGCCCAGACUCCUCAGGACUUUGGUUGUGCCCUUGGGACAGCUCAGAGGCCAGGUAUCGCUCGGCGUGAACUUGGACCUCGGAUGCAGGUCCCGUGUCUGAUCUUCCACAGUCCUGAUGCCCCCACCACUUCUGCACACAGGACACCUCGUGAAGUUUAAAGCCAAAGGUUUCACACACGUGCACACAGAGAACACACGCUGUCCGACGGAAGAUGUAACUCCCAGAGGAGCCAGCACUGGGGUGUUGAGUCCCCUGCUCCGAACCAGGUGCGACCACGGUCACAGCUCCCAGGGCACCGGGGCUGGGGCUGGUGGACCUGAGCCUGGUGUGUGCACGGGCACAGCAUGACGACCCCAGGCUCAGGGCAGCUGCACCGCGGCACCUGGGCCUGUGCGCCUGCAGGCUGUGAGGGUGGCUUUUUGCUUCCCAUGUCUCAAAUGUGAACCUGGACCUGUCCAAGUCUCAGGCAUACGAAAUCACCGUUUGGGAAGGUAGAAUCUUCGGUGUUUCGGGCUAGGAGUGCGAAGUUGCCCUGCUCCAUCCUGGCUCUGAGACUCAACGCUCCAUAACCGGGAGCAGGGACCUUCCCUCUCGGGGCCUCGCUUUCCUCGUCUGCAAAACGACCGAGAUGACACAGGCGACCCAGAGUCCAGAGCGCCAUGCUCUCACCCUGGUGACAACACUCAGCAGCUGGUGAGGGUGGGGGCAAUGGGACCCUCCUCCACUCCGUGGGAUGACGACCCAGCAUCAUCUUUCUUGGAAGCAAUAAGGCAGGACUUAAACUACAUGUUCCCUCUGACCCAGCCAUUCCAUUUCUGGAAAUUUACUGUAUUUUAUUUUUAUUUCUUUUACUUUUUGGCUAUGGCACGCAGCAUGUGGGAUCUCAACUCCCUGACCGGGGACCAAACCCAUGCCCCCUGCAGUGGACGCGCAGAGUCUUAACUGCUGGACGGCCAGGGAAGUCCCUGGGAAUUUAUUUUAAAGUAAUAAUCAAACAAGUAUACAGAAAUAUAUGUUUGUGGUGAAAUCCAGACCAAGUCUGGAGUUUAGUUAACAAUGUAUGUACCAAAUUCGGUUUUUUGGUUGUGACAAGUGGACCGUGGAAUGUAAGAUCCUAUCAAGAGAGGAACCUGGGUGGAGAGAGGACAGGAAGCCUCUGUGCCAUCUCGGUAACUUUUCUGUGCCUGUGAAAUUAUUCCAACAUGAAAAGUUUAUUUAUUUAUUUAUUUUUGGCUGCCCUGGGUCUUUGUUGCGGUGC